This 489-nucleotide ribosomal RNA is filed under the name uncultured bacterium. RNAcentral's name for it is "partial 16S ribosomal RNA". It matches the Rfam family "Bacterial small subunit ribosomal RNA", at positions 28 to 507 of the family's 1533-position model. The record is from RNAcentral.
GACGAACGCUGGCGGCGUGCUUAACACAUGCAAGUCGAACGGAAAGGCCUCCAUCUUGGUGGGGGUGCUCGAGUGGCGAACGGGUGAGUAACACGUGGGUGAUCUGCCCUGUACUUCGGGAUAAGCUUGGGAAACUGGGUCUAAUACCGGAUAGGACCAUGGUUUAGUGUCUCAUGGUGGAAAGAUUAUUGUUUUGGUGCAGGAUGAGCUCGCGGCCUAUCAGCUUGUUGGUGGGGUAAUGGCCUACCAAGGCGUCGACGGGUAGCCGGCCUGAGAGGGUGGACGGCCACAUUGGGACUGAGAUACGGCCCAGACUCCUACGGGAGGCAGCAGUGGGGAAUAUUGCACAAUGGGCGCAAGCCUGAUGCAGCGACGCCGCGUGGGGGAUGACGGCCUUCGGGUGGUAAACUCCUUUCGUUAGGGACGAAGCCGCACUUUUUUUGGGUGUGGUGACGGUACCUUUGUUAAGAAGCACCGGCUAACUACGUG